This 299-nucleotide unclassified non-coding RNA is filed under the name plant metagenome. Its description in RNAcentral is "partial contains 5.8S ribosomal RNA, internal transcribed spacer 2, and large subunit ribosomal RNA". The stretch from base 1 to 105 matches the Rfam family "5.8S ribosomal RNA", at positions 50 to 154 of the family's 154-position model. The record is from RNAcentral.
GAAAUGCGAUAAGUAAUGUGAAUUGCAGAAUUCAGUGAAUCAUCGAAUCUUUGAACGCACAUUGCGCCCCCUGGUAUUCCGGGGGGCAUGCCUGUUCGAGCGUCAUUUCACCACUCAUGCCUCGCUUGGUAUUGGGCGACGCGGUCCGCCGCGCGCCUCAAAUCGACCGGCUGGGUCUUCCGUCCCCUCAGCGUUGUGGAAACUAUUCGCUAAAGGGUGCCGCGGGAGGUCACGCCGCAAAACAACCCCAUUUCUAAGGUUGACCUCGGAUCAGGUAGGGAUACCCGCUGAACUUAAGC